Molecule: ribosomal RNA, 449 nt
Filed under: uncultured bacterium
Lineage: Bacteria
Description: bacterial SSU rRNA
Rfam family: Bacterial small subunit ribosomal RNA
Source: RNAcentral
GUGGGAAUAUUGGACAAUGGGCGAAAGCCUGAUCCAGCCAUGCCGCGUGUGUGAAGAAGGUCUUCGGAUUGUAAAGCACUUUAAGUUGGGAGGAAGGGCAGUAAGUUAAUACCUUGCUGUUUUGACGUUACCGACAGAAUAAGCACCGGCUAACUUCGUGCCAGCAGCCGCGGUAAUACGAAGGGUGCAAGCGUUAAUCGGAAUUACUGGGCGUACAGCGCGCGUAGGUGGUUUUGUAAGUUGGAGGUGAAAUCCCCGGGCUCAACCUGGGAACUGCCUCCAAAACUGCAUGACUAGAGUACGGUAGAGGGUAGUGGAAUUUCCUGUGUAGCGGUGAAAUGCGUAGAUAUAGGAAGGAACACCAGUGGCGAAGGCGACUACCUGGACUGAUACUGACACUGAGGUGCGAAAGCGUGGGGAGCAAACAGGAUUAGAAACCCCGGUAGUCC